RNAcentral lists this transfer RNA (72 nucleotides) under Olidiana tongmaiensis. RNAcentral's name for it is "tRNA-Lys". The record is from RNAcentral. Lineage: Eukaryota; Metazoa; Arthropoda; Insecta; Hemiptera; Cicadellidae.
CAUUAGAUAACUUAAAUACAAGUAAUGAUCUCUUAAAUCAAAUUAUAGUAGAUUAGUAACUACUUCUAAUGA